This 433-nucleotide ribosomal RNA is filed under the name uncultured bacterium. RNAcentral describes it as "partial 16S ribosomal RNA". It matches the Rfam family "Bacterial small subunit ribosomal RNA", at positions 29 to 507 of the family's 1533-position model. The record is from RNAcentral.
AACGAACGCUGGCGGCAUGCCUAACACAUGCCAGUCGAACGAGACCUUCGGGUCUAGUGGCGCACGGGUGCGUAACGCGUGGGAACCUGCCCUUAGGUUCGGAAUAACUCCCCGAAAGGGGUGCUAAUACCGGAUAAUGUCUUCGGACCAAAGAUUUAUCGCCUUUGGAUGGGCCCGCGUUGGAUUAGCUAGUUGGUAGGGUAAAAGCCUACCAAGGCGACGAUCCAUAGCUGGUCUGAGAGGAUGAUCAGCCACACUGGGACUGAGACACGGCCCAGACUCCUACGGGAGGCAGCAGUAGGGAAUAUUGGACAAUGGGCGAAAGCCUGAUCCAGCAAUGCGGCGUGAGUGAUGAAGGCCUUAGGGUUGUAAAGCUCUUUUACCCGGGAUGAUAAUGACAGUACCGGGAGAAUAAGCUCCGGCUAACUCCGUG